RNAcentral lists this ribosomal RNA (405 nucleotides) under uncultured bacterium. Its description in RNAcentral is "bacterial SSU rRNA". It matches the Rfam family "Bacterial small subunit ribosomal RNA", at positions 29 to 417 of the family's 1533-position model. The record is from RNAcentral.
AGCGAACGUUAGCGGCAGGCUUAACACAUGCAAGUCGAGCGAGAAAGGGGCUUCGGCUCCGAGUAAAAGCGGCGGACGGGUGCGUAACACGUGGAUAAUCUGCCUCGUGGCGGGGGACAACAGUCCGAAAGGACUGCUAAUACCGCAUGUCAGGUCGGAAACUCCGGUUUCUGACGAAAAAGAGGGCGUCCGCAAGGAGCUCUCACCACGAGAUGAGUCCGCGUCCCAUCAGCUAGUUGGCGGUGUAAUGGACCACCAAGGCUUAGACGGGUAGCUGGUCUGAGAGGAUGACCAGCCACACUGGGACUGAGACACGGCCCAGACUCCUACGGGAGGCAGCAGUGGGGAAUAUUGGACAAUGGGCGAAAGCCUGAUCCAGCCAUGCCGCGUGAGUGAUGAAGGCCU